Molecule: ribosomal RNA, 319 nt
Filed under: uncultured eukaryote
Lineage: Eukaryota
Description: partial 18S ribosomal RNA
Rfam family: Eukaryotic small subunit ribosomal RNA
Source: RNAcentral
CCCUUAGAUUGUCUGGGCGGCACGCGCGCUACAAUGAUGCAUUCAAAAAGUCUUCUGACCUUAGAAGGUUGGGUAUUCUCCAAAGUGCAUCGUGAUGGGAAUAGUUUAUUGCAACUUUUAAUCUUGAACGAGGAAUUCCUAGUAAGUACAGGUCAUCAACUUGUGUUGAUUACGUCCCUGCCCUUUGUACACACCGCCCGUCGCUCCUACUGAUUGAGUGUCUCGGUGAAUUCGUUGAUCUUCUGUCGAUUCAGUUCACUGAUCCGACGGUGGAAAGUUGAAUGAACUUCGUCACUUAGAGGAAGGAGAAGUCGUAACA